GGAGAGGUGGCUGAGCGGCUGAAAGCGGCACGCUGCUAAUGUGUUAGGGGCUUUAAAACCCCUCGAGGGUUCGAAUCCCUCCCUCUCCG
Molecule: transfer RNA, 89 nt
Filed under: Candidatus Wildermuthbacteria bacterium
Lineage: Bacteria; Candidatus Wildermuthiibacteriota
Description: tRNA-Ser
Rfam family: tRNA
About the family: Transfer RNA (tRNA) molecules are approximately 80 nucleotides in length.
Source: RNAcentral